ACAGUAACUAACCACAGAGACCGGGCCUCUAGUAGCGGGUCAAAAUGCAUUGCAACUGGAUAAGAAAUUAUCUUUUUGUAACAUGGAAUCAUUAACAGGUCAGAGGUCACCAUAUUCUUGAGGCUGGGGAUGGAAUGAUAGACCAGGAAGCAGGCCAACAUGUUGCCAUGAGUGUCCUUGUUCAUUGGCUGUCCUCUCAAGUCUGCCGACGGUUCCGUCUCUGGUUGGCUGUGCUUGACGCAGUGAUUCCUGCACCCCACGCUCCGCAGCUACUGAAUCUCCAGCGCCACAGCAAAAGAAGUAGGGAGCCUGUGAUGACUGUUGCUUAUUUCUUUAUUUUGACAUGGACGAUUUGAAACCUAGAUAAGGUCGUAACAACCACAUCGGGUUACACUUGUGAGAUAAGAACAGAAAAUCAAGUCAGCAGUGGGCAAAGGCUCAACAAAACUGGACAGUUGAAGACUGGAUAAAUGUCACCUGGUCUGAUGAAUCUCGAUUUCUGCUGAGGCACACAGAUGGUUGGGUCAGAAUCUGGUGCCAUAGACCCAGCGUGCUUUAGUUUCAACAGUCCAGGCUGCUGGUGGUGUAAUGGUGUCUUGGCACACUUUGGACCCGUUAAUACCAAUCAAUCAUCGCUUGAAUGCCACAGCCUAUUUGAGUAUUGCUGCUGACCAUGAGCAUCCCAUCAUGGUCAGCAAUUUACCCAUCUUCUAAUGGCUACUUCCAGCAUGAUAAUGCACCAUGACACAAAGCAAAAGUCGUCUUAAACUGGUUUCAUGAACAUGACAAUAAGUUAACUGUUCUUCAGCGGCCUGCCAAGUCAGCAUGAAUGCACAGCUGACGAAUCUGCAGAAAUUGUGUAAUGCAAUCAACAUGUCAACAUGGACCAGAAUCCCAAAGGAAUGUUUCCAACAUCUUGUGGAAUCCGUGACAUGAAGAAUUGAGGCUGUUCUGGGAGCAAAGGGAGGCCCUAUCCAGUAUUAGUGUAAUGUUCCUAUUAAAGUUACUAUUGUAAAAAAAAAAAAAUCAUAAUAAUAGUGUUAAGUAAUAAUAAUAAACCUGACUGGGUUCCACAAUAAUAAUUCUGUAUUAUAAUAUUCAACCGGGUUGCAAAAACUUAAGUGAGUGAAGUUGUAGUUUUUGCACACCCUGAUUAUUCACAAAAAAUAUUUUAGUAAAAAUAUAUUUUGGUAAAUAAAGUUAUUACAUUGUAUUUUUGUA
Molecule: long non-coding RNA, 1221 nt
Organism: Xyrauchen texanus (razorback sucker)
Lineage: Eukaryota; Metazoa; Chordata; Actinopteri; Cypriniformes; Catostomidae
Exons: 4
Source: RefSeq, a predicted model, not a curated record